GGGCCCGUAGCCCAACGGUACUUUGUGUAAGCAAAGGUUUACGCGAAGCGAAAAAGAGCGCUUCCUUUGCAAGGAAGAGGUUUCGGGUUCGAAUCCCGACGGGUCCA
This 107-nucleotide transfer RNA is filed under the name Candidatus Woesearchaeota archaeon. RNAcentral's name for it is "tRNA-Ala". It matches the Rfam family "tRNA". Rfam says of the family: Transfer RNA (tRNA) molecules are approximately 80 nucleotides in length. Their secondary structure includes four short double-helical elements and three loops (D, anti-codon, and T loops). The record is from RNAcentral. Lineage: Archaea; Nanobdellati; Candidatus Woesearchaeota.